CCUAAGGUAGCGAAAUUCCUUGUCGGGUAAGUUCCGACCUGCACGAAUGGCGUAAUGAUGGCCAGGCUGUCUCCACCCGAGACUCAGUGAAAUUGAACUCGCUGUGAAGAUGCAGUGUACCCGCGGCAAGACGGAAAGACCCCGUGAACCUUUACUAUAGCUUGACACUGAACAUUGAGCCUUGAUGUGUAGGAUAGGUGGGAGGCUUUGAAGUGUGGACGCCAGUCUGCAUGGAGCCGUCCUUGAAAUACCACCCUUUAAUGGCUGGUGUUCUAACGUAGACCCGUAAUCCGGGUUGCGGACAGUGUCUGGUGGGUAGUUUGACUGGGGCGGUCUCCUCCCAAAGAGUAACGGAGGAGCACGAAGGUUGGCUAAUCCUGGUCGGACAUCAGGAGGUUAGUGCAAUGGCAUAAGCCAGCUUGACUGCGAGCGUGACGGCGCGAGCAGGUGCGAAAGCAGGUCAUAGUGAUCCGGUGGUUCUGAAUGGAAGGGCCAUCGCUCAACGGAUAAAAGGUACUCCGGGGAUAACAGGCUGAUACCGCCCAAGAGUUCAUAUCGACGGCGGUGUUUGGCACCUCGAUGUCGGCUCAUCACAUCCUGGGGCUGAAGUAGGUCCCAAGGGUAUGGCUGUUCGCCAUUUAAAGUGGUACGCGAGCUGGGUUUAGAACGUCGUGAGACAGUUCGGUCCCUAUCUGCCGUGGGCGCUGGAGAACUGAGGGGGGCUGCUCCUAGUACGAGAGGACCGGAGUGGACGCAUCACUGGUGUUCGGGUUGUCAUGCCAAUGGCACUGCCCGGUAGCUAAAUGCGGAAGAGAUAAGUGCUGAAAGCAUCUAAGCACGAAACUUGCCCCGAGAUGAGUUCUCCCUGAGACUUUAGGUCUCCUGAAGGAACGUUGAAGACGACGACGUUGAUAGGCCGGGUGUGUAAGCGCAGCGAUGCGUUGAGCUAACCGGUACUAAUGAACCGUGAGGCUUAACCUU
Molecule: ribosomal RNA, 981 nt
Filed under: human gut metagenome
Description: bacterial LSU rRNA
Rfam family: Bacterial large subunit ribosomal RNA
Source: RNAcentral